UGAUACUUGCAAAAUAUUCGAAAAAAAUGUCCGAACAUAUAAUUUCCCCCCCGUAAUAUAGCAAAGAUCACGAAAAGGCCCAAAAAAGUACAUUAAGUUUAAAAUUUGGAGUAGAAAAAAAACCAAUAGAAGAAUUCCAUUUUCCUUCCUCAGUCAUCGGAGAGCUCUCUUUGGGCUUUCCGAAAAGUUAUCACAUGCCAAGUUUGACCUCACGGUCUAAAGGUUAUAGAGUCAUACAUUUUUAACAAAAAAAAAUAGAAAAACAGGAAAAAAGAGGGAUGCAAUACGAGGACUUUCCAGCAGGUCACCCAUCCUAGUACAACUCUCGCCAAAGCACGCUUAACUGCGGUGUUCAGAUGGGAUCUGGUGCAUUAGUGCUUGUAUGAUGGCAUUUGUUACUACAUGCAAUGCAAUCGUAUCGAUUCUUAUUUAAAGACUUUAUGAUCCAUUUGUCGUGGGUGCCA
RNAcentral lists this small RNA (464 nucleotides) under Arabidopsis thaliana (thale cress). RNAcentral describes it as "ATSL164310". The record is from RNAcentral. Lineage: Eukaryota; Viridiplantae; Streptophyta; Magnoliopsida; Brassicales; Brassicaceae.